RNAcentral lists this ribosomal RNA (484 nucleotides) under uncultured bacterium. Its description in RNAcentral is "bacterial SSU rRNA". It matches the Rfam family "Bacterial small subunit ribosomal RNA", at positions 1 to 509 of the family's 1533-position model. The record is from RNAcentral.
CAACAGCUAGAGUUUGAUCCUGGCUCAGGACGAACGCUGGCGGCGUGCUUAACACAUGCAAGUCGACGGGGUAUGCGAGGAGCUUGCUUUGAGCAUACUUAAGUGGCGGACGGGUGAGUAACGCGUGAGGAUCUGUCCUAUACAGGGGGACAACAGAUGGAAACGUCUGCUAAUACCGCAUAAGCCUAAGGGUAAAAGGAGAGAUUCGGUAUAGGAGGAACUCGCGUCCUAUCAGCUGGUAGGUGAGGUAACGGCUCACCUAGGCGAAGACGGGUAGCCGGCCUGAGAGGGCGAACGGCCACACUGGAACUGAGAUACGGUCCAGACUCCUACGGGAGGCAGCAGUGGGGAAUAUUGGGCAAUGGGGGAAACCCUGACCCAGCGACGUCGCGUGAGUGAAGAAAUCCCUCGGGAUGUAAAGCUCUGUUGUACGGGAAGAGAAGCAGACGGUACCGUACGAGGAAGCCCCGGCAAACUACGUGCC